RNAcentral lists this ribosomal RNA (497 nucleotides) under uncultured bacterium. RNAcentral's name for it is "partial 16S ribosomal RNA". It matches the Rfam family "Bacterial small subunit ribosomal RNA", at positions 28 to 507 of the family's 1533-position model. The record is from RNAcentral.
GAUGAACGCUGGCGGCGUGCCUAAUACAUGCAAGUCGAGCGAACAGACGAGGAGCUUGCUCCUCUGACGUUAGCGGCGGACGUGUGAGUAAAACGUGGAUAACCUACCUAUAAGACUGGGAUAACUUCGGGAAACCGGAGCUAAUACCGGAUAAUAUAUUGAACCGCAUGGUUCCAUAGUGAAAGACGGUUUUGCUUUCACUUAUAGAUGGAUCCGCGCCGCAUUAGCUAGUUGGUAAGGUAACGGCUUACCAAGGCGACGAUGAGUAGCCGACCUGAGAGAGUGAUCGGCCACACUGGAACUGAGACACGGUCCAGACUCCUACGGGAGGCAGCAGUAGGGAAUCUUCCGCAAUGGGCGAAAGCCUGACGGAGCAACGCCGCGUGAGUUAUGAAGGUCUUCGGAUCUUAAAACUCUGUUAUUAGGGAAGAACAAAUGUGUAAGUAACUAUGCACGUCUUGACGGUACCUAAUCAGAAAGCCACGGCUAACUACGUG